RNAcentral lists this ribosomal RNA (253 nucleotides) under uncultured bacterium. RNAcentral's name for it is "partial 16S ribosomal RNA". It matches the Rfam family "Bacterial small subunit ribosomal RNA", at positions 524 to 776 of the family's 1533-position model. The record is from RNAcentral.
GACAGAGGGGGCAAGCGUUGUCCGGAGUUACUGGGCGUAAAGGGCGCGGAGGCGGUCUGCGGCGUCGGCGCUGAAAGCGCCCCGCUUAACGGGGCGAGGCGUGCCGAUACGCGCAGGCUCGAGGCGAGCAGAGGGUGGCGGAAUUCCGGGUGGAGCGGUGAAAUGCGUAGAGAUCCGGAGGAACGCCAGUGGGGAAGCCGGCCACCUGGGCUCGACCUGACGCUGCGGCGCGACAGCGUGGGGAGCAAACCGG